This 337-nucleotide unclassified non-coding RNA is filed under the name Hevea brasiliensis (rubber tree). The record is from RNAcentral. Lineage: Eukaryota; Viridiplantae; Streptophyta; Magnoliopsida; Malpighiales; Euphorbiaceae.
CACCAAAGAAAAUCCCAGAAAUUUCCCAAUCUUUCUCGCCGGUUAGUCACAAAACUUUCCAGAUUAGGGUUUCUAUCUUUCUCUCUCUCGAAAGUAUAUUUUUCAAGGUGAGAUCUCGAAUCUAUCUUCCCCCCAAAACAUGUUUUCGUUUAAUGCCUGAAAACGCCAAUACGACUCCGCUCCUAUCUCCUGACCACAUCAUCAAACCCUAAAACGCCAACUGCGCUGCGAACAUGGACGAAGGCGAGGGCUGCGAUCAGAUGGAGCAGUUCCACCGGAACGAGGCGAUCUCAGCUGUUGCGGACGAGGGAUUUUUGGGCGAAGAGGACGACGAUUA